GUGUUUGUCACUGGUAAGGGCGUAUGGUGGAUGCCUUGGUAGACAGGACCGAUGAAGGACGUGACGGGCUGCGAUAUGCCUCGGGGAGCUGCCGAGUGGGCUUUGAUCCGAGGAUUUCCGAAUGGGGAGACCCGGCCACUGUUAUGAGUGGUCACCACAGUUUUUGUGGGGGGUACGCAGGGAAGUGAAACAUCUCAGUACCUGCAGGAAAGGAUACUCCGUGAGUAGUGGCGAGCGAAAGCGGAUCAGGCUAAACCGGGUGCGUGUGAUAGCCGUCAGGUGUUGCGCAUUCGGGGUCGUGGGAUGGACUGUUCAGCCUCUGACGGGGUUGAGGAGAGUGAUAAAAUGUCGUGCUAGGUGAAUGGGAUUGAAUUCCCAGCCGUAGAGGGUGAUGGCCCCGUAGCUUGUCGUGCGAUGUCUCUUUAUGUUUAUUCCCAAGUAGCGCGGGACUCGUGGAAUCCCGCGUGAAUCUGCCCAGACCGUUGGGUAAGCCUAAGUAUUCCUGUCUGACCGAUAGUGUACUAGUACCGUGAGGGAAAGGUGAAAAGCACCCCGGGAGGGGAGUGAAAUAGUUCCUGAAACCGUGCGCUUACAAUCCGUCGGAGCCUUCUUUGUGGGGUGACGGCGUGCCUAUCGAAAAAUGAGUCUGCGAGUCAGUGGUAUGUGGCGAGGCUAACCCGGGUGGGGGAGCCGUAGCGAAAGCGAGUUUUAAAAGGCGUUUGAGUCGCAUGUCCUGGACCCGAAGCGGGAUGAUCUAGCCCUGAGCAGGUUGAAGCGCGGGUAAGACCGUGUGGAGGACCGAACCCACCUAGGUUGAAAACUGGGGGGAUGACUUGGGGUUAGGGGUGAAAGGCCAAUCAAAUUCCGUGAUAGCUGGUUCUCUCCGAAAUGCAUUUAGGUGCAGCGUCGUGUUAUUGCUUACAGGGGGUAGAGCUACUGGAUGCUUGCGGGCCCAUACCGGGUACCAAUAGCAGCCAAACUCCGAAUACCUGUUAGGUUUAUCACGGCAGUGAGUCGGCGGGGGAUAAGCUCCGUCGUCAAAAGGGAAACAGCCCUGAUCGUCGUCUAAGGUCCCGAAGCGCGUGCUAAGUGGGAAAGGAUGUGGAGUCGCAUAGACAGCCAGGAGGUUGGCUCAGAAGCAGCCAUCCUUGAAAGAGUGCGUAACAGCUCACUGGUCUAGUGGUUCCGCGCCGACAAUGUAGCGGGGCUUAAGCACGCCACCGAAGACGCGGCUGCAUGAUUUGUUUCAUGCGGGGUAGGAGAGCGUCCUGUAUGGGGUGAAGCGGCAGUGUGAACUUGUCGUGGACUUUACAGGAGUGAGAAUGCAGACAUGAGUAGCGAGAGACGGGUGUGAAUCCCGUCCGCUGAAUGACUAAGGGUUCCGGGGCCACGUUCGUCGUCCCCGGGUGAGUCGAGUCCUAAGGCGAGGCCGACAGGCGUAGUCGAAUGGAUGAACGGGUUGAUAUUCCCGUACCGGUGUUACACCGUUCGAACUGAAUCUGAGAGUACUAACCUUCAUUUGCUGGUUGAUUGCCUUUCGGGGUUGUUGGCUGGUUUGUGUUGGGACUGUAUCGGUAGUAGGUUAGCGUGGGAGUGACGCGGGUAGGUAGCCGGCUGCGGAGGUGGUUUUCCGUGGCUAAGCGUGUGGGCUGUCUCCUAGGUAAAUCCGGGGGAUGUUAAAGCUGAGGCGUGAUGGGUAGGCUGUAAGGCUGAUUCCGGUGAUCCUGCUUGCCAAGAAAAGCUUCAACGUGAGG
Molecule: ribosomal RNA, 1754 nt
Filed under: Bifidobacteriaceae bacterium NR020
Lineage: Bacteria; Bacillati; Actinomycetota; Actinomycetes; Bifidobacteriales; Bifidobacteriaceae
Description: bacterial LSU rRNA
Rfam family: Bacterial large subunit ribosomal RNA
Source: RNAcentral